GUAGGGAAUAUUGGGCAAUGGGUGCAAGCCUGACCCAGCCAUCCCGCGUGCCGGAUGAAGGCCCUCUGGGUCGUAAACGGCUUUUGACGGUGAAGAACCGAAAGGGUGCGCCCUUUUUUGACGGUAGCCGUUGAAUAAGCACCGGCUAACUCCGUGCCAGCAGCCGCGGUAAUACGGAGGGUGCGAGCGUUGUCCGGAUUUAUUGGGUUUAAAGGGUGCGUAGGCUGGAGGGACAGUCAGCGGUGAAAAGCAGUUGCUCAACAAUUGUCUUGCCGCAGAUACUACCUUUCUUGGAUUGGGAGGAGGUUACCGGAACGGAUGGUGUAGCGGUGAAAUGCAUAGAUAUCAUCCAGAACGCCAAUUGCGAAGGCAGGUAACUGUACCUAUAUCGACGCUGAUGCACGAAAGCAUGGGUAGCGAACAGGAUUAGAUACCCGGGUAGUCC
Molecule: ribosomal RNA, 445 nt
Filed under: uncultured bacterium
Lineage: Bacteria
Description: partial 16S ribosomal RNA
Rfam family: Bacterial small subunit ribosomal RNA
Source: RNAcentral